AACGUUACCAAACUGUUGCCUCGGCGGGAUCUCUGCCCCGGGUGCGUCGCAGCCCCGGACCAAGGCGCCCGCCGGAGGACCAACCAAAACUCUUUUUGUAUACCCCCUCGCGGGUUUUUUAUAAUCUGAGCCUUCUCGGCGCCUCUCGUAGGCGUUUCGAAAAUGAAUCAAAACUUUCAACAACGGAUCUCUUGGUUCUGGCAUCGAUGAAGAACGCAGCGAAAUGCGAUAAGUAAUGUGAAUUGCAGAAUUCAGUGAAUCAUCGAAUCUUUGAACGCACAUUGCGCCCGCCAGUAUUCUGGCGGGCAUGCCUGUCCGAGCGUCAUUUCAACCCUCGAACCCCUCCGGGGGGUCGGCGUUGGGGAUCGGCCCUGCCUCUUGGCGGCGGCCGUCUCCGAAAUACAGUGGCGGUCUCGCCGCAGCCUCUCCUGCGCAGUAGUUUGCACACUCGCAUCGGGAGCGCGGCGCGUCCACAGCCGUUAAACACCCAACUUCUGAAAUGUUGACCUCGGAUCAGGUAGGAAUACCCGCUGAACUUAAGCAUAUCAAU
RNAcentral lists this ribosomal RNA (550 nucleotides) under Trichoderma harzianum. RNAcentral's name for it is "eukaryotic LSU rRNA". The stretch from base 172 to 325 matches the Rfam family "5.8S ribosomal RNA". Lineage: Eukaryota; Fungi; Ascomycota; Sordariomycetes; Hypocreales; Hypocreaceae. The record is from RNAcentral.